GAUGAACGCUGGCGGCGUGCCUAAUACAUGCAAGUCGAGCGAACAGACGAGGAGCUUGCUCCCCUGACGUUAGCGGCGGACGGGUGAGUAACACGUGGAUAACCUACCUAUAAGACUGGGAUAACUUCGGGAAACCGGAGCUAAUACCGGAUAAUAUAUUGAACCGCAUGGUUCAAUAGUGAAAGACGGUUUUGCUGUCACUUAUAGAUGGAUCCGCGCCGCAUUAGCUAGUUGGUGAGGUAACGGCUUACCAAGGCAACGAUGCGUAGCCGACCUGAGAGGGUGAUCGGCCACACUGGAACUGAGACACGGUCCAGACUCCUACGGGAGGCAGCAGUAGGGAAUCUUCCGCAAUGGGCGAAAGCCUGACGGAGCAACGCCGCGUGAGUGAUGAAGGUCUUCGGAUCGUAAAACUCUGUUAUUAGGGAAGAACAAAUGUGUAAGUAACUAUGCACGUCUUGACGGUACCUAAUCAGAAAGCCACGGCUAACUACGUG
RNAcentral lists this ribosomal RNA (497 nucleotides) under uncultured bacterium. Its description in RNAcentral is "partial 16S ribosomal RNA". It matches the Rfam family "Bacterial small subunit ribosomal RNA", at positions 28 to 507 of the family's 1533-position model. The record is from RNAcentral.